Long non-coding RNA from Mesocricetus auratus (golden hamster), 2802 nucleotides. RefSeq lists it as uncharacterized. The record is from RefSeq and is a predicted model, not a curated record. The transcript has 2 exons. NCBI's taxonomy places the organism in Eukaryota, Metazoa, Chordata, Mammalia, Rodentia, Cricetidae.
UAAUCCUAUGCAGGUGAGGUGCCAAGUAACAUAUGUGUUCCCCCGCUACACAGCUCAGGAGGUCCGAAAGGGGGCCUCCUGCUCCACCACAACCUGUCAUUCAAGGUCAUUCACGCUGUUCCUCGCUUCAUACUCGAGGAACAAGAGCACAUUUCUUCUCGCAGCUUCCUUAGCACCCUAGCCCUGUACCUGUCUAAGUCAAUGUCUGUUUUUGUUUGUAAGUUAUUCAAGACAGGGCUUCUCUGUGUAGCCCUGGCUGUCCUGGAAUUCGCUCUGUAGACCAGGCUGGCUCUGCCUCCCGAGUGCCUCCUGGUGGGACUAAAGACCAUCAUGUCCAGCACCCUCCCAUUUUUUUUUUAACAGUGACUCCUUAACUAUCAUAUAGUUUUCACCCAACUGCUCUUCAUCAAAUAGCCCUUAGGUAACCAGAGUUUAUAUGUUAAAUGUGAGAUGAGAAAUUAGCUCAGUUAAACACCUUUAGCAUAAGCCGGUUGUUGAUGGCGCACGCCUUUAAUCCCAGCACUUGGGAGGCAGAGGCAGGCAGAUCUCUGUGAGUUCCAGACCAGCCGGGUCUACAAGAGCAAGUUCCAGGACAGCUUCCAAAGCCAUAGAGAAACCCUGUCUUGAAAAACCAAAACAACAACAACACCUUUAGCAUAGAGGAGGCUCCUGGGCCAAGCAUUGCACAGCAAAGCCAAACAGAACAAGAAGCUGGGCAUGAUAAUGCAUAUAUGUUAUCUAAGCACUCAAGAGCUAGAGGCAUACCAGGGAUGUCCCUCAGUGGGUAGAGUGUUUGUUUGGUUAGCCCACACAAAGCUCUGGGUCCAAUCCCCAGCACCACAUAAAUGACCUAUGCCUGUAAAGGAAAGAGGAUCAGGAGUCCAAGGUAAUCGUUGGUUACACAGUACUUUAAGGCCAGCAGGACUUCAGAAGACCCUGUCUCAACAUACUUUGAACACACUUAUACUAAAAAAAAAAUCAUCUAUUGUUUAUUCUAAAUUCCAAUUGAACUGGUUAUCUUGGGGUUUUGUUGUUGUUUAUUUUUGUUAUCAUGGAAACCCUAGAAAUAGUCUGUGUUCCAUUCCUUUGUCUCCCACUUAAAGGCAAAUUCUGUGAGGGUACAGACGUGGUCUGUUAGAUCCCUUGCUAUAAACACCUGUCAUCUAGUGCUGGGCAUCAUGAGGCUUGGCCGACGGUUGGCACCCACAAGGGUUGAGACUGAAGGUAGAGGCUAUCCACACCAACCACACCACAUCAGCAGUAACCAUGCGAUCCACGCCACGCUCCUUUCUAGCCUCCACUGUCUCCUCAGAAAUUUCCCAAUUGUCAUGGGGAUUCCAAGAACUCACAAGUAUCCAUUUCUGGGCUACUACCAGAACAUGCUGAACGACUGAAUCCAGGCAAAGGUCAGUCCCACCAGCACAAGUUGGAAUAGAGGCAGAAAAUUGCCAUGAAAAUGGUUUUGGUCCCCUUUCCUCUCCAUCUUGUCUUACUGAAUAUUCUCACCUAAAACCUCUGCAUUUCUGGCAUGGAGAUACUCUGUUCUUCUUAGCUAUGAAAGAGAACGAUGACCAUUUGAUACUGCAGGCCCUGAGGGGAUAACUAGGACAGCCUCGGCCAAUGUUCUGACAACUGAGUAUUGUUAGCUUGGACUCCUCAGUUACUUAGGGAGGACUUUGGAGCUUUGGAAUAUUCUUCCAAUAAUUCAUGGCUUUUUUUUCUUUUUCUUUUUUUUAGUUUUUUGAGGCAGGGUUUCUCUGUGGCUUUGGAGGCUGUGCUGGAACUAGCUCUUGUAGACCAGGCUGGUCUUGAACUCACAGAGAUCCGCCUGCCUCUGCCUCCCGAGUGCUGGGAUUAAAGGCGUGCGCCACCAACGCCUUGCCAUUCAUGGCUAUUUAGUCAGCUAACUAACUCUUGUGAGUUAUGGCAUUUUUCUCAUGGCCACUUUCCCCAAGGCAGAAAGCCAGAGAAGAGGUAAGAGCUCCCUACCCCGCCCCCCAAGUCACACCUUUUCAUUCAUUAACUUCUUUGGGACUGUAACCAAGACCUAAGGUGCACAUAGAGGUCAGAAGACAAUUCUGUGGAGUCUGUUCUCUCCCUUCAUCUUUACAAGUAUUCCAGGAACUGUGCUCAGUUGUCAGGCUUGUCAGGGCAACUGCCUUGACCCAUACCCACAGAGCCAUCUUUCUAGGUUUUUCUAGCCAUAGCUCCCCCUUUCUGAAUAGCCAUUGAAACCUGGUAGUUUGCAAGAACCAAGAUGGAGUCAAAAGGAAUAGCUCAAAGUUUGGGGUUUCCAUCUCGAAUUAGUUUGCAGCUGACAUCUCUUCCUCUGUCCCCAACAGAUGCCCAACAGGGUCCAUGGCUUCCAGGAGUUGUAAUGGAGCAGCAGAGAAGUUAUCGCUUGAGCAGCUCAUCUCCGAUGCUGGGAGCCCCAUUUCUUCAUCCUCCUUUCCCUCCCUGCUGCUUGCAUUUAUUUGGAGCCACUGGGAUUGGCUGAUUUAUUUCUCUCCUCACAGACUCUACACUGUAUGUGGGGAUAGUUCCCCAUUCAAAAGCCCAAAGCAGCAUGGUGGUGUGAAAAACAUAGUUUUCUCCUACUAGUCCACAUUUCCUGAGCCCUUCCCCUUUAUGCUGAUUAGCCAGUUGCAUCAGAUUGUGACCUUCAGCUUGCACCAAUGGAAAAUGAGAUGAAUUUACCACCUAUAGCAGACAUAACAGGGGCCAUUUGCCUGUGUGUGCUUUCUCGCCCAGUUUGUGUUGUGGUACAACCAUUUUGUAAAAAGAAAUUGCUUUGCUGAAUUA